CGAAAGAUAGCUCAGUUCUCCAGGAGGACUCAAUCUGGCAGAGCAUGAGACUCUUCAUCUCAAGGUUGUGGGUUCGAAUCCCACGUUGGUCCCUUCCA
Non-coding RNA from Podarcis lilfordi (Lilford's wall lizard), 98 nucleotides. The record is from the annotation of a GenBank genome assembly. Lineage: Eukaryota; Metazoa; Chordata; Lepidosauria; Squamata; Lacertidae.